RNAcentral lists this ribosomal RNA (218 nucleotides) under uncultured bacterium. RNAcentral's name for it is "partial 16S ribosomal RNA". It matches the Rfam family "Bacterial small subunit ribosomal RNA", at positions 1284 to 1500 of the family's 1533-position model. The record is from RNAcentral.
UACCCACGUUCGGAUUGCAGUCUGCAACUCGAGUGCAUGAAGCUGGAAUCGCUAGUAAUCGCGAAUCAGAAUGUCGCGGUGAAUACGUUCCCGGGGUCUUGUACACACCGCCCGUCACACCAUGGGAGUCGGAAAUGCCCGAAGUCAGUGACCUAACCGAAAGGGAGGAGCUGCCGAAGGUGGAGCCGGUAACUGGGGUGAAGUCGUAACAAGGUAGC